RNAcentral lists this ribosomal RNA (602 nucleotides) under Thoropa miliaris (rock river frog). RNAcentral describes it as "partial 16S ribosomal RNA". It matches the Rfam family "Bacterial large subunit ribosomal RNA", at positions 1796 to 2620 of the family's 2925-position model. The record is from RNAcentral. Lineage: Eukaryota; Metazoa; Chordata; Amphibia; Anura; Cycloramphidae.
UCGCCUGUUUAUCAAAAACAUCGCCUCUUGAAAAAUAUAAGAGGUCCAGCCUGCCCAGUGACUCUGUUCAACGGCCGCGGUAUCCUAACCGUGCGAAGGUAGCGUAAUCACUUGUUCUUUAAAUGAGGACUAGUAUGAAAGGCAUCACGAGGGUUAUACUGUCUCCUUUUUCUAAUUAGUGAAACUAAUCUCCCCGUGAAGAAGCGGGGAUGCUUAUAUAAGACGAGAAGACCCUAUGGAGCUUUAAAUAAUAUAACAAUUGCCACUUUAUUCUUAUUAAUUUUUAACAUCUGGCAAUAUGAUUAUUAAUUUUUGGUUGGGGUGACCGCGGAGUAUAACAUAACCUCCACAUUGAAAGGAUUAAUAUCCUAAGCUAAAAACAACAACUUUAAGCAUCAACAAAUUGACAUCAAUUGACCCAAUAUAUUUGAUCAACGAACCAAGUUACCCUAGGGAUAACAGCGCAAUCUACUUUAAGAGCCCAUAUCGACAAGUAGGUUUACGACCUCGAUGUUGGAUCAGGGUAUCCUAGUGGUGCAGCCGCUACUAAUGGUUCGUUUGUUCAACGAUUAAAACCCUACGUGAUCUGAGUUCAGACGGGA